Molecule: long non-coding RNA, 584 nt
Organism: Oncorhynchus tshawytscha (Chinook salmon)
Lineage: Eukaryota; Metazoa; Chordata; Actinopteri; Salmoniformes; Salmonidae
Source: Ensembl
GACGCUACAGCCUCUAGUCUUCUUGGGUAUGACGCUACAGCCUCUAGUCUUCUUGGGUAUGACGCUACAGCCUCUAGUCUUCUUGGGUAUGACGCUACAGCCUCGUGUCUUCCUACUAGGCUACCACAGUAUAUGAUAACUGUAACAAUAGACUACAGAAGACAAGGAGACAUUGUUGGAGUUUUAAAUAAAUACUUUAAUGUUCUGUUAUACCCUGAGGUAAUUUAAUGUCCUGUUAUGCCCUGAGGUAAUUUAAUGUCCUGUUAUGCCCUGAGGUAAUUUAAUGUUCUGGUAUGCCCUGAGGUAAUUUAAUGUUCUGUUAUACCCUGAGGUAAUGAUGUAAUGUUCUGUUAUACCCUGAGGUAAUGUAAUGUUCUGUUAUACCUUGAGAUAAUGAUUUAAUGUGAUGUUAUACCCUGAGGUAAUUUAAUGUUUUGUUAUACCCUGAGAUAAUGAUUUAAUGAUUUAAUGUUCUGUUAUACCCUGAGAUAAUGAUUUAAUGUGAUGUUAUACCCUGAGGUAAUUUACUGUUCUGUUAUACCCUGAGAUAAUGAUUUAAUGUGAUGUUAUACCCUGAGGUAAUU